GGACGUCACACAUACAGAUCCAUGGGGCUCAAACUGUGUGAGGUGACGUGGACCCCACGGAAACUCACUGAGAGGCUGCAGGAAGGUUUAACUUUUCAAGGGAAGCACAGUGAUGCUUGGCCCCUGUGGGAUAACAUGGUUUGACGGUCUCUCCAUUAGACUGUGCAGCACUUACUGAAGAUGUCAUCUCUCUCUGAAAUCGCAUUUCUGGAAGUUGUUGGGAUUAAAACGACUCCAGUUUUGUUCAGGAAAUCGAGACGUCUCAUGCUUCCAGAGCUCUUCUCCAACCCCAAAGAUUGGCCAAUCCAGAGGUUCUUAACUUGAGUGGCCCAGCGCAGUGCCUCAGGGGACUUUUAAACAUCAGGAUGCGGAGAACAUGUUGGACCAGGGAAAUCAGUCACUGGGGAUGAGACUCAGCCAGCAUCAGUAUUUUGUAAAGCUCCCCAGGUAUGAUGGUUGAUUUUAUUUUAUUUUUUUAAUUUUUAUUUUACAUUGGCAUGUCGGGUUUGUUUUUUUUUUCUUUUUCUUUU
This 530-nucleotide long non-coding RNA is filed under the name Sus scrofa (pig). RNAcentral describes it as "lncRNA (ENSSSCG00070027836.1)". The record is from RNAcentral. Lineage: Eukaryota; Metazoa; Chordata; Mammalia; Artiodactyla; Suidae.